CUCUUCUUCUGACAGAUGGGGCUGCAGAACUUGACUCUUGCUGGAAGCCUCAAGUUCAUCAGAAACAGUCGUGGCCCAUGUCUUUGAGGUUUGCUUCUAAGGUUAAGGUUCCAUAGCAAGUGGAGAAACCUUCAAUUGCCUUAGUGGAGUAAGAAGGACUAAGCAAAUCUCUAGUACAGAACCUUGCUGGGCUGAGAAGGAACCUCUCCUGCAGCCAAAGAGGGAGUAAGCAGAGGUCCCAGACCUCAGACCUGCCCUCUCACACCAGACCUUCUCUUCUGAGAAAAAGAGGAACCACCUAUUGCAAAUGGGCAGCAAAGGUAGCUGAGCAGUUACAGAGGCAGCGGUGCACAACCAAGCAGUGAGAGUGGCCAUGCCAUGGUGCGUCCCCCAAACGACACUCAGCACCUCAGCAUCCCACCUCCAGAACACUGAAAUGUGGCUGUGAGCAUCUGUGCUUUAUCUUAAUUUUGUGCCUCCAUUAGCAAGAGGUGUCCUAAGGUAACCGCCUCUUCACUCUAUAUCAUUUUAGCUUGCAAAGGUUUCAUGGAGAUAAUCUACUUUAGGAUAGCAAGUGAAACCUGAAUUCAGCUUUAAUGCAAAUUCCAAAAAGGUUAAUUAUCUUCUCCAAGGUCAAUAUUUGAAUUUGGGUUUGUCUGACAUGAAAUCCCAGGCUGUGUCCACACCAAAUAAGCCCUGGCUGAUGUCAUGAGCUUGAAUUUCUUAUCUGCAGACUUCAGUCCCAAAUGACAUGGUGUCCUGCACCCCUGGAAGAGAAAAAAAAUGGGAGAAUGGUUGCCAAGCAACCACGGCACCAGGAUGUCCUGAUUGCAGCGUGAUCGACUGGAAUCUGAUGUGUAUGUGUUAGUCGCUCAGUCGUGUCCAACCCUGCGACCCCAUGGACUGUAGCCCGCCAGGCUCCUCUGUCCAUGGAAUUCUCCAGCAAGAAUAUUGGAGAGGAUUGCCAUGCCCUCCUCCAGGAGAUCUUCCCAACCCAGGGAUCAACCCAGGUCUCCCGUAUCACAGGCAGAUUCUUUUCCAUCUGAGCCACCAGGGAAGCCCAAUUCACAGAAUCAACUUUGGGGAGCAACAAGGCUGCAGGUCUUUUCCCUACGCGAGUAUCGAGAAGAGGGCGGAGGCCGUCUUGGAGUGCGUGAGAGAAGGGCCAGCCUGGAGGGGCGUCAGCACACGGAGAGGAAGUGACGCAAUGGCUUUCUUUGUUUCCCGUGAUUCCCGCUUCUUCACACCACUGGUUUCCUGCAUUUUCCUACUGGGAGGGUGCCACACUUGUCCUGGGAGUCCCUGAGAAAAAGAGACCCAGCUUCUCACUAAUCAAUCAAUCGAUCACUUAACAUUUAUUUUUUUAAACCUUAUGGUCACUGAAGCCCACAUACAGCUCCCCUUCCCCCACAAGGGUCUUCAUCACACUCAGUGAGUGAUUCUUCAGUUUUUUAUUAUUUCUUCCAGCUUUAAUGUGGUUAAUUGGCAAAUAGAAAUUGCAUAUGUUUAGGUUGUACAAUGUGAUUCUUUUUAGGUGUAUGUUGUGGUGAUGCAGCAUACAUAUACGCUAUGAAAUGAUUACAUCAAUCGAGUUAAUUAAUGCACCUGUCACCUCACAUACUUAUCUUUGUGUAUGUGUGUGGUGAGAAUACUUAAGAUCUACUCUGUUCACCAAUUUCAAGUGUAUAGUUCAGUAUUGUUUACUCUAGUCACCAUGCUGUUCACUGCCCAGAAGUUAUUCAUCUUGUAACACAAAGCAUAUGCCCUGGAACCAACAUUUGCCCAUCUCCCACCCCAGUCUCUGACAACCACCACUGUAGUUGUCUGACUCUACAGAGUUUGACUUUUUAAAUUCCACAUAUCAGUGAGAUCACAAACUAUUUGUCUCUCUGUGUCUGGCUUGUUUCACUUUGCAUAAGGUUUUCCAGGCUCACCUAUGCUGUUGCAAGUGGAGUCUCCAUUUCUUCAUGACAUUUCUAAACAUUUGGAGAUAAAAUUCAUCUUGAAGCAGCUAUGGGGCUGC
Molecule: long non-coding RNA, 2023 nt
Organism: Bos taurus (domestic cattle)
Lineage: Eukaryota; Metazoa; Chordata; Mammalia; Artiodactyla; Bovidae
Source: Ensembl